Molecule: ribosomal RNA, 421 nt
Filed under: uncultured Bacteroides sp.
Lineage: Bacteria; Pseudomonadati; Bacteroidota; Bacteroidia; Bacteroidales; Bacteroidaceae
Description: bacterial SSU rRNA
Rfam family: Bacterial small subunit ribosomal RNA
Source: RNAcentral
GAGGAAUAUUGGUCAAUGGACGAGAGUCUGAACCAGCCAAGUAGCGUGAAGGAUGACUGCCCUAUGGGUUGUAAACUUCUUUUAUACGGGAAUAAAGUGAGGUACGUGUACCUUUUUGUAUGUACCGUAUGAAUAAGGAUCGGCUAACUCCGUGCCAGCAGCCGCGGUAAUACGGAGGAUCCGAGCGUUAUCCGGAUUUAUUGGGUUUAAAGGGAGCGUAGAUGGGCGUUUAAGUCAGUUGUGAAAGUUUGCGGCUCAACCGUAAAAUUGCAGUUGAUACUGGACGCCUUGAGUGCAGUUGAGGCAGGCGGAAUUCGUGGUGUAGCGGUGAAAUGCUUAGAUAUCACGAAGAACUCCGAUUGCGAAGGCAGCUCACUGGAGUGUAACUGACGCUGAUGCUCGAAAGUGUGGGUAUCAAACA